Long non-coding RNA from Asterias rubens (European starfish), 145 nucleotides. RefSeq lists it as uncharacterized. The record is from RefSeq and is a predicted model, not a curated record. Lineage: Eukaryota; Metazoa; Echinodermata; Asteroidea; Forcipulatida; Asteriidae. The transcript is spliced from 3 exons.
AAGCACUGUGACAAGGACAUCAACGUUGGAAAACAAUACACGACAACUUGAGCGCAGUGUGAGCCAACUCAAUGCCAAAGCACAGACACAAAGCAGUGACAUACAAGAGAAUAAAAUGAAGAAUGACGACCAAGACAACACGGUA